CCUACGGGGGGCAGCAGUGAGGAAUAUUGGUCAAUGGGCGGAAGCCUGAACCAGCCAAGUAGCGUGCAGGAUGACGGCCCUACGGGUUGUAAACUGCUUUUAUACGGGAAUAACGCGCCUUACGUGUAGGGCUUUGCAUGUACCGUAUGAAUCAGGACCGGCUAAUUCCGUGCCAGCAGCCGCGGUAAUACGGAAGGUCCGGGCGUUAUCCGGGUUUAUUGGGUUUAAAGGGAGCGUAGUCGGCAGUGCAAGCGUGCAGUGAAAUGUACGGGCGUAACCCGGGCCUUGCAGCGCGAACUGGCGUGCUUGAGUCCGCGGAAGGCAGGCGGAAUUCGUCGUGUAGCGGUGAAAUGCUUAGAUAUGACGAAGAACCCCGAUGGCGAAGGCAGCUUGCUGCAGCGGAACUGACGCUGAUGCUCGAAAGCGCGGGUAUCGAACAGGAUUAGAUACCCCUGUAGUC
This 460-nucleotide ribosomal RNA is filed under the name uncultured bacterium. RNAcentral's name for it is "partial 16S ribosomal RNA". It matches the Rfam family "Bacterial small subunit ribosomal RNA", at positions 338 to 795 of the family's 1533-position model. The record is from RNAcentral.